AUAAUUUCUCCCCUCAUCAGUGUGGUCCUUAUCUUAUACAUGGUUUAAACCCAGGUUCUGACCUUGGAUGCUACACAUCACCAGACCUUGAGGGCUGUGAGACAUUGUUCUGCCCUUCAAGAACGGGUUCUUCACCAUGGCAAAGGCAAUGUAGGUGAAAUUAUGCCACAAACUGCUACCCUGUGGCUUGGAGAGCCAGCUUUGCUGUGCAGAAGUUACACAUCUAUCCUUUAUCAGUUAAUGGCCAUCCAGGUAAUCAUGUCCAUGCAGAGGAACUGUGUGAACCAAAUGCAGCUGGAGCCCCUGGGCAGGACAAGGACCAUCAGAGCUCUGGAAGCAUGAGGGAAGGAGCAAAACUGUCCUGGCUGCUCUAGGAAAGUCAAGGAAACGGGAACGAGGGUGCGCUCAGCAGCUAGAGGGCAGGCUCAUUUUUCCUUUAAAACUUGUGAAUCAUUUCCUCGCAGCUGCAGUGACUGCCAGAGUAUUCAACAGAAGCGGCUAAGAUAAAAGGAAUGUGAAGAAAGGUAAGAAGUCUCUGCAGAGUAUGGUCUCAGUGGAUCCAGGACAGCAUGCACAGAUGGAAGCAAGCACAGAUGGACACACAGCCCUUCACAAAAAUCUUUACAAAUAUCUGACCCCACCUGGAUCUGUUCUUCAGCCUGAUGCCACUCAGCCACAGCAACUCAAGUUGCUUCUUCUUUGCACUAUUGAGAUAAACAAACACAACUUGCAGCAGUUUGGUUCUGUUUGACAUCUCUGUGUGAACCUUUAUUUUAUGUUUGUUCUCCUGCAUGCUGCCCAGACACCCAGUUUGCAAGCUGGGCCUCCCCACAUAGAUCAGUCCUCAAGCCCUGCUAUUCAGGGAUGCAUUUUAGCAGCAGGAGGUUACAUCUGUGGGUCUCAACCACCUUUUCAGAAUCCAUCCUCCUGUUUGUCUUCCUUACCACAUCUGCUCCUCUUGCUCUAAUUCAACGUGGAGAGGAAGCUGGCAUGUGAAGACAGAUGCAGGAAGAAGAGCAGACCUUCCCCAGUGCAAAGCCUCAGGAUUGCUGAAGACAUUGCCUAACAGAGCUUUUGUUAGCUGUUAACAAGAGGGAGGAGGAGCCUCAGAGGUCAUUCAGGCUGCAUCUGGUGAGCAUUGUUGAAAGAGUCUCUCCCGUCUGUGCCUUCAGUCUAUUUUUGUGCUGUAGUCGUAUCAUGCCAUCACAAGUCAACAUGCAGCUGCACCACGAACUGGCUCAGGGAACUGGUCUGGCUGAAAACCCACCCAGCUGAAAGGAGAAAAAAAAAAGAGGAAAAAAAGGAAAAAAAAAAAAUCUUUUCCAGCCAGCUCAGAUCUCUGAUCUCACUUACCACACAGCAGGACUUACAGUUGUACCACCUCCAGGGAGGUAACCUCUUCCCACAGCUGUGGUGGCUGCUGCCAACUCUUCUUGAGGCAGCAACCCAAGUCUUUGCCCUAUGGACCUGCUCCUUAGGAAUUGAGUUUCUCAUUUCAUUCCCACUACUAAGGCAACUCUGGCUUGUGUAGACAGGCAGUAACACAUGGAUGCCCAACAUGGGAUUUGAAGAGGUCUGGUUAGAAAGCUCACAUUGGAAAGACUCUGCAAGAGCUCUCUCCUUGUAGAUACAAAGGCAGUAAAAGUUUCUCUGAGUGCUUCUUGCUUCACUUUGUGCUCUCCUCUCCCCUUUGGGAAUUUAGGUAAAUAGUUUAUAUAGGGAAAAUCUUUCAGUAGCUUCACCCCCCUCCU
Long non-coding RNA from Parus major (Great Tit), 1751 nucleotides. The record is from Ensembl. NCBI's taxonomy places the organism in Eukaryota, Metazoa, Chordata, Aves, Passeriformes, Paridae.